This is a long non-coding RNA of Trachymyrmex septentrionalis, 90 nucleotides long. RefSeq lists it as uncharacterized. Lineage: Eukaryota; Metazoa; Arthropoda; Insecta; Hymenoptera; Formicidae. The record is from RefSeq and is a predicted model, not a curated record. The transcript has 3 exons.
UAUUUAUCCUGUAGAUUAAACAAAGACAUCUACUGUAUAGGUCGCGGACUAAGCGCACGGUGUAAACGUAGCCAAUUGUUGAGGCAAUCG